RNAcentral lists this ribosomal RNA (215 nucleotides) under Clostridioides difficile. RNAcentral describes it as "partial 23S ribosomal RNA". It matches the Rfam family "Bacterial large subunit ribosomal RNA", at positions 521 to 736 of the family's 2925-position model. The record is from RNAcentral. Lineage: Bacteria; Bacillati; Bacillota; Clostridia; Peptostreptococcales; Peptostreptococcaceae.
GAGCCCCGUGGAGGAGGGGAAACGGUGCUGGAAACCCUGCACUUACAAGCUGUGGAAGCACAUUUCUUGUGUGACCGCGUACUUUUUGUAGAACGGGCCAACGAGUUACGUUAAGUAGAAAGGUUAAGCACUUAAGGUGUGGAGCCGUAGCGAAAGCGAGUUUUAACUGAGCGUUCAGUUACUUGACGUAGACCCGAAACCGGGCGACCUACCCA